UUUGUAAUGGCUGGACCAACAGGCUGUUAUUCUUCAACGUCACUUCACCGCUGGCAUGAGUAAUGCGGUUCUCUUCCAAGGGGAUAUCAAGGUGUAAGCGCCCACUAACUUUACCGCCCACCUGCAACUGUUCAAGUGUCUCAGCCACCGAAUCAUUGAGUGGUGUCUUGGUAAAGUAGUCAUGAACAUCACGCCCUUCGCCAGCCACUUCGGCAUCGACAUACAGUUUCUCUUUCAGAUAAUCCGGAAUGAUGGCGCUGAUAUUGCUGCCGGUGACCUUGCCCAACAUGGCAUGAGGCGCAUUCAUCCACAGACCUUCAUUGAGGAAAUCGAGGUCGAUAGCUAAAUUCUCUAAUGCAGGCCAAUCUGGCUGGAAUGCGAAAGUCGCGUUA
Molecule: non-coding RNA, 392 nt
Filed under: Yersinia frederiksenii
Lineage: Bacteria; Pseudomonadati; Pseudomonadota; Gammaproteobacteria; Enterobacterales; Yersiniaceae
Source: RNAcentral